GGGUUGUGAGGUUAAGCGACUAAGCGUACACGGUGGAUGCCCUGGCAGUCAGAGGCGAUGAAGGACGUGCUAAUCUGCGAUAAGCGUCGGUAAGGUGAUAUGAACCGUUAUAACCGGCGAUUUCCGAAUGGGGAAACCCAGUGUGUUUCGACACACUAUCAUUAACUGAAUCCAUAGGUUAAUGAGGCGAACCGGGGGAACUGAAACAUCUAAGUACCCCGAGGAAAAGAAAUCAACCGAGAUUCCCCCAGUAGCGGCGAGCGAACGGGGAGCAGCCCAGAGCCUGAAUCAGUGUGUGUGUUAGUGGAAGCGUCUGGAAAGGCGCGCGAUACAGGGUGACAGCCCCGUACACAAAAAUGCACAUAUUGUGAGCUCGAUGAGUAGGGCGGGACACGUGGUAUCCUGUCUGAAUAUGGGGGGACCAUCCUCCAAGGCUAAAUACUCCUGACUGACCGAUAGUGAACCAGUACCGUGAGGGAAAGGCGAAAAGAACCCCGGCGAGGGGAGUGAAAAAGAACCUGAAACCGUGUACGUACAAGCAGUGGGAGCACGCUUAGGCGUGUGACUGCGUACCUUUUGUAUAAUGGGUCAGCGACUUAUAUUCUGUAGCAAGGUUAACCGAAUAGGGGAGCCGAAGGGAAACCGAGUCUUAACUGGGCGUUAAGUU
This 667-nucleotide ribosomal RNA is filed under the name Escherichia coli. RNAcentral's name for it is "partial 23S ribosomal RNA". It matches the Rfam family "Bacterial large subunit ribosomal RNA", at positions 1 to 701 of the family's 2925-position model. The record is from RNAcentral. Lineage: Bacteria; Pseudomonadati; Pseudomonadota; Gammaproteobacteria; Enterobacterales; Enterobacteriaceae.